UACGUAGGUGGCAAGCGUUAUCCGGAAUUAUUGGGCGUAAAGCGCGCGCAGGCGGUCCUUUAAGUCUGAUGUGAAAGCCCACGGCUCAACCGUGGAGGGUCAUUGGAAACUGGGGGACUUGAGUGCAGAAGAGGAGAGCGGAAUUCCACGUGUAGCGGUGAAAUGCGUAGAGAUGUGGAGGAACACCAGUGGCGAAAGCGGCUCUCUGGUCUGUAACUGACGCUGAGGCGCGAAAGCGUGGGGAGCGAACAGG
RNAcentral lists this ribosomal RNA (253 nucleotides) under uncultured bacterium. Its description in RNAcentral is "partial 16S ribosomal RNA". It matches the Rfam family "Bacterial small subunit ribosomal RNA", at positions 524 to 776 of the family's 1533-position model. The record is from RNAcentral.